Molecule: long non-coding RNA, 281 nt
Filed under: Gallus gallus (chicken)
Lineage: Eukaryota; Metazoa; Chordata; Aves; Galliformes; Phasianidae
Description: long non-coding RNA NONGGAT006921
Source: RNAcentral
GCUUCUGUCCUGGUAGUUUUCAACGGGGAGGACAAGGAACCUGAACAAAGCUGCGGAAAGUGAUGCUCCCUUCCGGCUGAUGGAGUGCUGAGGAGAGUUCGACCAAGGUGUGCCUGGACCCAUCCCACAACACAGUUGCAAGCUGAGCUCUAGGUGGCUGCAUGGAUGUCUCACCAACCUGCCAUUUGAAAGCAACACGUUAUCUAAAAUGGAGCUGGUGGCACUUGGUUAUCUCACAGGAUGAGCUCAAAUGGGUGCAUUCAGGUUAGUCAAGCUCUUGG